CCAAGGAGUCUAACAUGUGCGCGAGUCAUUGGGACUCGUACAAGCCCAAAGGCGCAAUGAAAGUGAAGGACGCGCCCUCAGCCGUCCGAGUUGGGACCCUCCCCGACGGGAGGAGCACCAACGACCCGUCCCGUCCGCAGCGUCGGUGGGGCGGAGUGUGAGCGCACACGUUGGGACCCGAAAGAUGGUGAACUAUGCCUGGGCAGGACGAAGCCAGAGGAAACUCUGGUGGAGGUCCGUAGCGAUUCUGACGUGCAAAUCGAUCGUCAGACCCGGGUAUAGGGGCGAAAGACUAAUCGAACCAUCUAGUAGCUGGUUCCCUCCGAAGUUUCCCUCAGGAUAGCUGGCACUCGUGUGGGAAUCAGUCUCAUCCGGUAAAGCGAAUGAUUAGAGGCCUUGGGGCCGAAACGACCUCAACCUAUUCUCAAACUUUAAAUGGGUGAGCAGUCCGGCUUGCACGACUGAAGCUCGGACGGCGAUGAGAGUGCCCAGUGGGCCACUUUU
RNAcentral lists this ribosomal RNA (504 nucleotides) under Charinus sp. 1 GSM-2017. RNAcentral's name for it is "partial large subunit ribosomal RNA". It matches the Rfam family "Eukaryotic large subunit ribosomal RNA", at positions 666 to 1138 of the family's 3401-position model. The record is from RNAcentral. Lineage: Eukaryota; Metazoa; Arthropoda; Arachnida; Amblypygi; Charinidae.